This 406-nucleotide ribosomal RNA is filed under the name uncultured bacterium. Its description in RNAcentral is "partial 16S ribosomal RNA". It matches the Rfam family "Bacterial small subunit ribosomal RNA", at positions 28 to 526 of the family's 1533-position model. The record is from RNAcentral.
GACGAACGCUGGCGGCAGGCCUAACACAUGCAAGUCGAACGAGUGGCGGACGGGUGAGUAAUGUCUGGGAAACUGCCUGAUGGAGGGGGAUAACUAAUGGAAACGGUAGAUAAUACCGCAUACCAUCAGAUGUGCCCAGAUGGGAUUUGCUAGGUGGUGGGGUAACGGCUCACCAAGGCGUCGAUCCCUAGCUGGUCUGAGAGGAUGACCAGCCACACUGGAACUGAGACACGGUCCAGACGCCUACGGUAGUCAGCAUUGGGGAAUAUUGCACAAUGGGCGCAAGCCUGAUGCAGCCAUGCCGCGUGUAUGAAGAAGGCCUUCGGGUUGUAAAGUACUUUCAGCGGGGAGGCGUUACCCGCAGAAGAAGCACCGGCUAACUCCGUGCCAGCAGCCGCGGUAAUUC